This 834-nucleotide ribosomal RNA is filed under the name Enterococcus faecium. RNAcentral's name for it is "bacterial SSU rRNA". It matches the Rfam family "Bacterial small subunit ribosomal RNA", at positions 48 to 856 of the family's 1533-position model. Lineage: Bacteria; Bacillati; Bacillota; Bacilli; Lactobacillales; Enterococcaceae. The record is from RNAcentral.
UCUAUAAUGCAGUCGACGCUUCUUUUUCACCGGAGCUUGCUCCACCGGAAAAAGAGGAGUGGCGAACGGGUGAGUAACACGUGGGUAACCUGCCCAUCAGAAGGGGAUAACACUUGGAAACAGGUGCUAAUACCGUAUAACAAUCAAAACCGCAUGGUUUUGAUUUGAAAGGCGCUUUCGGGUGUCGCUGAUGGAUGGACCCGCGGUGCAUUAGCUAGUUGGUGAGGUAACGGCUCACCAAGGCCACGAUGCAUAGCCGACCUGAGAGGGUGAUCGGCCACAUUGGGACUGAGACACGGCCCAAACUCCUACGGGAGGCAGCAGUAGGGAAUCUUCGGCAAUGGACGAAAGUCUGACCGAGCAACGCCGCGUGAGUGAAGAAGGUUUUCGGAUCGUAAAACUCUGUUGUUAGAGAAGAACAAGGAUGAGAGUAACUGUUCAUCCCUUGACGGUAUCUAACCAGAAAGCCACGGCUAACUACGUGCCAGCAGCCGCGGUAAUACGUAGGUGGCAAGCGUUGUCCGGAUUUAUUGGGCGUAAAGCGAGCGCAGGCGGUUUCUUAAGUCUGAUGUGAAAGCCCCCGGCUCAACCGGGGAGGGUCAUUGGAAACUGGGAGACUUGAGUGCAGAAGAGGAGAGUGGAAUUCCAUGUGUAGCGGUGAAAUGCGUAGAUAUAUGGAGGAACACCAGUGGCGAAUGCGGCUCUCUGGUCUGUAACUGACGCUGAGGCUCGAAAGCGUGGGGAGCAAACAGGAUUAGAUACCCUGGUAGUCCACGCCGUAAACGAUGAGUGCUAAGUGUUGGAGGGUUUCCGCCCUUCAGUGCUGCAGCUAAC